GUCUUUGCUGCUGGUUGCACAACAUCUGCUGGUUCUUCCAGCCUAGAAUCAGGGGGGAUUACCCCCGUAGAGGAGUCACCAACAUGAAACUUGCAAGAAGCACAAUUUUCUCCAUGCAUAUCAUCCUUAAGGUUGUUGUCCCCACCCUAUUGACAAACAAAUAAACCUAUUAGUUGUUUUUUGUCAAAGGAAAUCGUACAUAGAUCCCUUCCUAAGCAGCACCCUGAAUGUGCUUAGACAAUGAAUAGAUAAGUCGCUUGGAUGAGAAAUGACUGCAUGAAGUGCAGAUUUGUCAGUAAAAUGAAAAAAGUACAGUAAACAUAAACGAAAUAAAAACCACAAAACCAUGUCAGGACAAUGUAAACACAUUAAAAAGAAACGAAAUAAGAACAACGAUGAAAAAGUGUCAGUGAAAUAACAACCUCAGCAUCCAAGAGCAGCAUGUUUAUGCCCAUGAGUUCACCAGAUUUCUUCACAUUCCUAGCUUUCAAAAAUCGGAGUAGGCGGGUCAAGACGGUUCAAGUGAAACGUCCGGGAUUCAACUCAGGAAGCUAAUUCUGGGAAUUAUCCAUCGUUCUUGCAGUUUUGUAUAUGUAUAUUGAGGGGAGAAUACAAUGAGGCUGUACAAACGGUAGCUCCGAAGAUCCCUAUUUAGAGGUAAGAGAUCGGGGAGAAGCUGAAGAGUAUGGAGGUGGUGAAGUAAUGAGAUGUAGUGGGGAUAUAGUUAAUGGAGCUUGAAAGUGAUGGUUAAUGGCUUCGUCUUUAAGAUCGGUGCAUCCAUUACUCAGGUAUACGCUUCAACGAAGAGAGUGUAAUUAGGGUUUGAUUGAUGUAAACGGGGAAGACAAUCAUUCCACAUUACUUUGGGCUGUUGUCGAAACAUUAAUAAUAAUGGAUUA
RNAcentral lists this long non-coding RNA (899 nucleotides) under Brassica napus (rape). RNAcentral describes it as "long non-coding RNA (BNAP_LNC024527)". The record is from RNAcentral. Lineage: Eukaryota; Viridiplantae; Streptophyta; Magnoliopsida; Brassicales; Brassicaceae.